UGGCGGCGUGCUUACACCUGCAAUUCGAACGCUGAAGGCCCAGCUUGCUGGGUUGGAUGAGUGGCGAACGGGUGAGUAACACGUGAGUAACCUGCCCUCUUCUUUGGGAUAACGGUCGGAAACGGCUGCUAAUACCGGGUAUUCACUGUCCUUCGCAUGGGGGGUGGUGGAAAGGUUUUUUCUGGUGGGGGAUGGGCUCGCGGCCUAUCAGCUUGUUGGUGGGGUGAUGGCUUACCAAGGCUUUGACGGGUAACCGGCCUGAGAGGGUGACCGGUCACAUUGGGACUGAGAUACGGCCCAGACUCCUACGGGAGGCAGCAGUGGGGAAUAUUGCACAAUGGGCGAAAGCCUGAUGCAGCGACGCCGCGUGAGGGAUGACGGCCUUCGGGUUGUAAACCUCUUUCGCUCAUGGUCAAGCCGCAACAGUGGUUGUGGUGAGGGUAGUGGGUAAAGAAGCACCGGCUAACUACGUGCCAGCAGCCGCGGUAAUACGUAGGGUGCGAGCGUUGUCCGGAAUUAUUGGGCGUAAAGGGC
RNAcentral lists this ribosomal RNA (534 nucleotides) under uncultured Actinomyces sp. Its description in RNAcentral is "bacterial SSU rRNA". It matches the Rfam family "Bacterial small subunit ribosomal RNA", at positions 37 to 568 of the family's 1533-position model. The record is from RNAcentral. Lineage: Bacteria; Bacillati; Actinomycetota; Actinomycetes; Actinomycetales; Actinomycetaceae.